GUGGGCUCAGGCAUAACAGCUAUUGUGAGGAUGGCGUAGGACCAGGUAGUGCUUCAUUGUCUCGUACAUAGGGUUGCUAUGAGUUGGAACCACUCCAUGGCACCUAACAAUAAUAACACAGUUACUUUUGCCAAAUGCUGGCAUAUUUUGGAAGAGUAGUUUUUCCAAACCACUAAGGGUUGAUCAGUUACGCAUUUUCUUGUUUCUGUUUCCACCAAAGACAUACUACGCCCACACACAAGCUCAGCCAAGAAAAUGGCCAGUCUCAGCAUGGGAGCUAGUGUGGCACAGUGAAGCAGCUUUAGACUGGACAUCAGGAUCGGGGCUUCUCAUCCAGACUCUGCCACUAACUAUAGGCUUUGGCCAUAGGCAAGUCGCUUGUUCUCAGUUUCUUUAUGAAAUGAGGGUUUCAACCCAGAUGAUUUCCAGCUCCAGAAUCACCUGAAUCUGCUUUUUCCGGCCAUGCUGUCUAGAAUUGUACUUGGUCAUCUGAUGACUGUAAAGGAGAUGUGAAGAGAACCGGGUAAGAACCUGCUGAGCUGCUUAAACAAUGUAGCAGCUGCCUACCUCCAGCCUUCUUGUUACAGAGAUAAAAGGAAAGAGAAGCAAGCAGAGAGAGGAGAGACCUCACUAACACUAAGAAAGACAAGCUGGGAGCAGAGCACGUCCUUUGGACCCAAGGUCCCUGUGCUAAGAACUUCCUAGACCCAGGGGAAGAUUGAUGCCAAGCCACAUGGAGAUCUCCAAGGAACCC
This is a long non-coding RNA of Trichechus manatus latirostris (Florida manatee), 754 nucleotides long. RefSeq lists it as uncharacterized. Lineage: Eukaryota; Metazoa; Chordata; Mammalia; Sirenia; Trichechidae. The transcript is spliced from 3 exons. The record is from RefSeq and is a predicted model, not a curated record.